RNAcentral lists this small RNA (138 nucleotides) under Finegoldia magna. Its description in RNAcentral is "HNH endonuclease-associated RNA and ORF (HEARO) RNA". It matches the Rfam family "HNH endonuclease-associated RNA and ORF (HEARO) RNA", at positions 1 to 127 of the family's 211-position model. Lineage: Bacteria; Bacillati; Bacillota; Tissierellia; Tissierellales; Peptoniphilaceae. The record is from RNAcentral.
GUCAAUUACCCCACGACUAAAGUCGGGGCUUGUCUUAACAAACAGCCCUAGUUGAUUAGACUAAGCACUUAUGUUAUGUGCUACGUUACUUGUAAAUAUAUAGUUACCAAGGAAUGUUUUACCUAGUUCCUUGCUCUA